CGGGGCGUAGCGCAGCCCGGUAGCGCACUCCCUUGGGGUGGGAGUGGUCGAAGGUUCAAAUCCUUUCGCCCCGACCA
RNAcentral lists this transfer RNA (77 nucleotides) under Leptospirillum sp. RNAcentral describes it as "tRNA-Pro". It matches the Rfam family "tRNA". From Rfam's summary of the family: Transfer RNA (tRNA) molecules are approximately 80 nucleotides in length. Their secondary structure includes four short double-helical elements and three loops (D, anti-codon, and T loops). The record is from RNAcentral. Lineage: Bacteria; Pseudomonadati; Nitrospirota; Nitrospiria; Nitrospirales; Nitrospiraceae. RNAcentral also lists the same sequence under 10 other names.